GGCCUCGUGCUGGAAUGGUAGACAGUCUGGACUUAAAAUCCAGUGGGAUUUAUCCCGUGCCGGUUCGAGUCCGGCCGAGGCUACCA
This 86-nucleotide transfer RNA is filed under the name Alphaproteobacteria bacterium. RNAcentral's name for it is "tRNA-Leu". It matches the Rfam family "tRNA". From Rfam's summary of the family: Transfer RNA (tRNA) molecules are approximately 80 nucleotides in length. Their secondary structure includes four short double-helical elements and three loops (D, anti-codon, and T loops). The record is from RNAcentral. Lineage: Bacteria; Pseudomonadati; Pseudomonadota; Alphaproteobacteria.